CUUGUCUUUCACAUCACCAUUGCCACUGCUGAAACGUAUCAUCCGCAGUCUCACUGUGCUUACAUUCACUCUUCAGUCUCCAUAAACAUUCAGCAAGCAUCAAUGAAUGUCAGUAGGUGCAACUUUAUUCCACGCGGGUGCUACUUUGUUCCACACUGGGGAAUUCAGUGAUACACCUUUGCUUCACAUGCACUUCCAUGUCAGAUGUCAUUUUGUCAGCUGCUUCUCUGCUGCUGUCUGUCACACAUCAACAAAAUGUAAUGGAGUACUGAUGGAAAAGUUCAACCUCUACUGCCAUCCCAUGACAUCUGCCUCUGACAUCAUGGACCAACAUUAUAAAAAUAGGAGGCAUUACUUUUGGAGCACCCCUGUACUUAGGAUGUGAAAGUGGAUCAUCAAGAAGGAGAAAAUAUGAUUAUAUCUGUUCCUGCCAAGUCCUUGAUUUUGGAGAAGUACAACCCAAUGGCACUGCAAGAGCUUACUUGUAUUCAGCCUGGAGACAAGCUGAGGAAUGAGGUUUGAAGAGGCAGAAAAGUUGUAACAAAUACCCCAAGCUAAAAUACAAAGCUCAAAAUCAGGAUGUAGCUGGAACUGCUGAUAACAGUAAUUUCCACGUAGUGCCUGAUGGAUGGGGUUAAUUUCUAGAAUACUUUUCUGAAAAGAGAGAGGCAUUUACUAUUUGUGUGUGUGUGUGAGGAAGAAUUGAUUGUUAUAUUUUAAGCUUAUUUAAUUUUGGAACACAUUUCUAGUCACACGAAGAAGAAGGUAACUAGGAACAGCCAGCACAGAUUUACCAAUGAUUUGCCAUGCUUGAGCAACUCAAUUGCCCUGUAGAUGAGUGGAGAGGAGUAGAUUGAUUUUUGCACAAUAGCCUUGUAUUCUGUUAGGAUGUGAAUGUCUGGAUGAGCGGAAAACAGUGUAGAAAAUGCAGUUGAAUGAUUGGGCUCAAGUGGUAGAAGGUAGCACAUUAUACCUUACCUGGAGGCAGGUAACAAACUGUUUGAGGGCACUUUCAUCAUAUUUGUGAAUGGGCUCAUUCUGAGGGGCAUAACUCAAUGCCCUCAAAGGAAGAUCUGCUCUUCAAGAGGCACUUUGACAUGCAGAAGGCAUUCAUGAGCUGACUGGAAUCUCAUGAAAUUCAUCAGAGACAAAAGCAGUCCUGCAUCUGGAAAAAAGAGCCCUUGACAGAGUUGUGGGCUAAGGACAGCUGUGCAUUGUUGGAGAUUCAGAGAAAAUGGGCAUACGCUGAAAAUAUUUCUUCAUAGUGAGAACAGUUGUGCAGGGACAUGACUUGCUCAGAGGAUGGAUCAGAGACCCCUGAGGUACCUUCCAGCCCAAACUGCCCUACGUUACUAUACUUCUCUGUAACAUUACAGUUUGGUUUAAAAGUAGAAGAAAACCUGAAGGAUUACUGUGGUUGUUGGUGGGAUUUUAUUUCAGCCAACCUUGUAGAGGAAGGAGAUGCUUAGAGAAAUGUGCCCACAAGUGACAUGCAGCUGCCAGCACUGUCUGCUUCUUUUCUGUGAGAGGGAGAGCUCGGGCACCUGAAGUUGGGCUGGGGACAGGCACUGGCACAAGGGAUGUGGAGGCUGAGGGACCCUCCUUGUUGACACGUUAGACCUAGCUCCAUUUACUUCUCUGUAUUACUCAGAGAGACUGGGACAUGAUAGCAAAAGAGCAAGAUUGGUCCAGGCUGAUGCUAAAUUCAGUGAGAGACUUUGGGUUUUCCUUUGAGAAGCCAUUGCAUAGCAUGCAGCUGGAACAAAAGCCUGUCAGAGAAAUGGAAAAUUUCUAUAAGAAUAUAAAACUGUAAUGGAUGCUUCAGCUGCAAACUCAUGUGGAGGGUUGUUUAUUUUCCGUAGAAAAUGACUACACCUUGUAAUAAGGAAAGCAAUAUGCACAUUCAGAUUUUCGAUAAAAGAAAAUAUAUCACCCUGACAUUUUAUUAUAGAGUAAUAUAAUCUCUGUAUUCAGCAGACUAAUGGAUACUGUUCCAAAACAUAAGACAAUGUCACAUCAUAAAUGGCUGAUUUAAUAGGUACUACUUAUUUUAUUGGAAUUUCUUGUGAAUUAAAUUGGUGUUCACGCCUGUAAAAUAUGUUUUGCUAUUAUGACUUAAAGUUACUAAGAAAGACCAUGUUCCUUUACCUUUCCACUGCAUUGCCUAACGUGCUGCUCUUUUCUGUCACGGAGUCUCUGCCAGCUGCUUCUACUUCUAUCUGGACCAGCAGAAAUGUUUCUGAAGUAUGCUAGUCUUCUGUCACAAUCUGUCUGGGGUUUGCACAACAUCCCAAGUGCAGGUCCCACCAGUCAACACUGCAGAAUACAAGCCAGAAAGCUAUGACAAAAGUUUUG
This is a long non-coding RNA of Gallus gallus (chicken), 2355 nucleotides long. The record is from Ensembl. NCBI's taxonomy places the organism in Eukaryota, Metazoa, Chordata, Aves, Galliformes, Phasianidae.